Molecule: ribosomal RNA, 402 nt
Filed under: bacterium
Lineage: Bacteria
Description: partial 16S ribosomal RNA
Rfam family: Bacterial small subunit ribosomal RNA
Source: RNAcentral
UGGGGAAUUUUGCACAAUGGGGGAAACCCUGAUGCAGCGACGCCGCGUGAUUUAGAAGGCCUUCGGGUUGUAAAAAUCUUUUCUAUGGGAAGAAAAUGACAGUACCAUAGGAAUAAGGACCGGCUAAUUACGUGCCAGCAGCCGCGGUAAUACGUAAGGUCCGAGCGUUGUCCGGAAUCAUUGGGCGUAAAGGGUACGUAGGCGGGUAAGCAAGUUAGAAGUGAAAUCCUAUAGCUCAACUAUAGUAAGCUUUUAAAACUGCUCAUCUUGAGGUAUGGAAGGGAAAGUGGAAUUCCUAGUGUAGCGGUGAAAUGCGCAGAUAUUAGAAGGAAUACCGGUGGCGAAGGCGACUUUCUGGCCAUAACCUGACGCUGAGGUACGAAAGCGUGGGUAGCAAACAGG